Molecule: transfer RNA, 74 nt
Filed under: Streptomyces coelicoflavus ZG0656
Lineage: Bacteria; Bacillati; Actinomycetota; Actinomycetes; Kitasatosporales; Streptomycetaceae
Also listed under: 3 other names
Description: tRNA-Gln
Rfam family: tRNA
About the family: Transfer RNA (tRNA) molecules are approximately 80 nucleotides in length. Their secondary structure includes four short double-helical elements and three loops (D, anti-codon, and T loops).
Source: RNAcentral
UCCCGGGUCGUCUAAUGGUAGGACAAAGAGUUUUGGUCUCUUGAAUGAGGGUUCGAUUCCUUCCCCGGGAGCCU